This 440-nucleotide ribosomal RNA is filed under the name uncultured bacterium. RNAcentral's name for it is "partial 16S ribosomal RNA". It matches the Rfam family "Bacterial small subunit ribosomal RNA", at positions 338 to 795 of the family's 1533-position model. The record is from RNAcentral.
CCUACGGGAGGCAGCAGUAGGGAAUAUUGCUCAAUGGGGGAAACCCUGAAGCAGCGACGCCGCGUGGAGGAUGAAGGUUUUCGGAUUGUAAACUCCUUUUGUUAGAGAAGAUAAUGACGGUAUCUAACGAAUAAGCACUGGCUAACUCCGUGCCAGCAGCCGCGGUAUUACGGAGGGUGCAAGCGUUAAUCGGAAUCACUGGGCGGAAAGAGCGCGGAGGCGGGAUAGCAAGUCAGAUGUGAAAUCCUAGGGCUUAACCAGAGAACUGCAUUUGAAACUGUUAUUCUAGAGUAUGGGAGAGGUAGGUGGAAUUCUUGGUGUAGGAGUAAAAUCCGUAGAGAUCAAGAGGAAUACUCAUUGCGAAGGCGACCAGCUAGAACAUAACUGACGCUGAUGCGCGAAAGCGUGGGGAGCAAACAGGAUUAGAUACCCUAGUAGUC